GUGCCAGCAGCUGCGGUAAUACGUAGGUGGCAAGCGUUAUCCGGAAUUAUUGGGCGUAAAGCGCGCGCAGGUGGUUUCUUAAGUCUGAUGUGAAAGCCCACGGCUCAACCGUGGAGGGUCAUUGGAAACUGGGAGACUUGAGUGCAGAAGAGGAAAGUGGAAUUCCAUGUGUAGCGGUAGAAAUGCGUAGAGAUAUGGAGGACACCAGUGGCGAAGGCGACUUUCUGGUCUGUAACUGAC
This 240-nucleotide ribosomal RNA is filed under the name uncultured bacterium. Its description in RNAcentral is "partial 16S ribosomal RNA". It matches the Rfam family "Bacterial small subunit ribosomal RNA", at positions 505 to 744 of the family's 1533-position model. The record is from RNAcentral.